This 73-nucleotide transfer RNA is filed under the name Camelus bactrianus (Bactrian camel). It matches the Rfam family "tRNA". Rfam says of the family: Transfer RNA (tRNA) molecules are approximately 80 nucleotides in length. Lineage: Eukaryota; Metazoa; Chordata; Mammalia; Artiodactyla; Camelidae. The record is from Rfam by way of RNAcentral. RNAcentral also lists the same sequence under 2 other names.
GAGGGUGUAGCUCAAGUGGUAGAGCACAUGCUUAGCAUGCAUGAGGUCCUGGGUUCAAUCCGCAGUACCUUCC